Molecule: ribosomal RNA, 3091 nt
Filed under: Salmonella enterica subsp. enterica
Lineage: Bacteria; Pseudomonadati; Pseudomonadota; Gammaproteobacteria; Enterobacterales; Enterobacteriaceae
Also listed under: 1 other name
Description: 23S ribosomal RNA
Rfam family: Bacterial large subunit ribosomal RNA
Source: RNAcentral
GGUUAAGCGACUAAGCGUACACGGUGGAUGCCCUGGCAGUCAGAGGCGAUGAAGGGCGUGCUAAUCUGCGAUAAGCGCCGGUAAGGUGAUAUGAACCGUUAUAACCGGCGAUACCCGAAUGGGGAAACCCAGUGUGAUUCGUCACACUAUCAUUAACUGAAUCCAUAGGUUAAUGAGGCGAACCGGGGGAACUGAAACAUCUAAGUACCCCGAGGAAAAGAAAUCAACCGAGAUUCCCCCAGUAGCGGCGAGCGAACGGGGAGGAGCCCAGAGCCUGAAUCAGCAUGUGUGUUAGUGGAAGCGUCUGGAAAGGCGCGCGAUACAGGGUGACAGCCCCGUACACAAAAGCGCAUGUGCUGUGAGCUCGAUGAGUAGGGCGGGACACGUGGUAUCCUGUCUGAAUAUGGGGGGACCAUCCUCCAAGGCUAAAUACUCCUGACUGACCGAUAGUGAACCAGUACCGUGAGGGAAAGGCGAAAAGAACCCCGGCGAGGGGAGUGAAAAAGAACCUGAAACCGUGUACGUACAAGCAGUGGGAGCCCCACCACUAAGCCAGUGGUGAACUCCACAUCCGCAUCCUUUGCUGAGGAUACGGUUAACGGAGCGAAAGCGACGUUCAACCGCAAAACAAGCAGAGGGGGCUUAGUGGUGGGGUGACUGCGUACCUUUUGUAUAAUGGGUCAGCGACUUAUAUUCUGUAGCAAGGUUAACCGUAUAGGGGAGCCGGAGGGAAACCGAGUCUUAAUUGGGCGUUAAGUUGCAGGGUAUAGACCCGAAACCCGGUGAUCUAGCCAUGGGCAGGUUGAAGGUUGGGUAACACUAACUGGAGGACCGAACCGACUAAUGUUGAAAAAUUAGCGGAUGACCUGUGGCUGGGGGUGAAAGGCCAAUCAAACCGGGAGAUAGCUGGUUCUCCCCGAAAGCUAUUUAGGUAGCGCCUCGUGAAUUCAUCUCCGGGGGUAGAGCACUGUUUCGGCUAGGGGGCCAUCCCGGCUUACCAACCCGAUGCAAACUGCGAAUACCGGAGAAUGUUAUCACGGGAGACACACGGCGGGUGCUAACGUCCGUCGUGAAGAGGGAAACAACCCAGACCGCCAGCUAAGGUCCCAAAGUCAUGGUUAAGUGGGAAACGAUGUGGGAAGGCCCAGACAGCCAGGAUGUUGGCUUAGAAGCAGCCAUCAUUUAAAGAAAGCGUAAUAGCUCACUGGUCGAGUCGGCCUGCGCGGAAGAUGUAACGGGGCUAAACCAUGCACCGAAGCUGCGGCAGCGAACGUAUCACCCAAGACAACUUUACGGAGUUGACGAUUGACGGAGCGAAGCGACGUCAAAGCGUUCAUUAAAGUCGAGUUGGCUUAGGGAUACGUUCGUUGGGUAGGGGAGCGUUCUGUAAGCCUGUGAAGGUGUGUCGUGAGGCAUGCUGGAGGUAUCAGAAGUGCGAAUGCUGACAUAAGUAACGAUAAAGCGGGUGAAAAGCCCGCUCGCCGGAAGACCAAGGGUUCCUGUCCAACGUUAAUCGGGGCAGGGUGAGUCGACCCCUAAGGCGAGGCCGAAAGGCGUAGUCGAUGGGAAACGGGUUAAUAUUCCCGUACUUGGUGUUACUGCGAAGGGGGGACGGAGAAGGCUAUGUUGGCCGGGCGACGGUUGUCCCGGUUUAAGCGUGUAGGUGUGUGUUCCAGGUAAAUCCGGUUCACUUUAACACUGAGGCGUGACGACGAGGCACUACGGUGCUGAAGCAACAAAUGCCCUGCUUCCAGGAAAAGCCUCUAAGCAUCAGGUAACAUCAAAUCGUACCCCAAACCGACACAGGUGGUCAGGUAGAGAAUACCAAGGCGCUUGAGAGAACUCGGGUGAAGGAACUAGGCAAAAUGGUGCCGUAACUUCGGGAGAAGGCACGCUGACACGUAGGUGAAGUGAUUUACUCAUGGAGCUGAAGUCAGUCGAAGAUACCAGCUGGCUGCAACUGUUUAUUAAAAACACAGCACUGUGCAAACACGAAAGUGGACGUAUACGGUGUGACGCCUGCCCGGUGCCGGAAGGUUAAUUGAUGGGGUCAGCGCAAGCGAAGCUCCUGAUCGAAGCCCCGGUAAACGGCGGCCGUAACUAUAACGGUCCUAAGGUAGCGAAAUUCCUUGUCGGGUAAGUUCCGACCUGCACGAAUGGCGUAAUGAUGGCCAGGCUGUCUCCACCCGAGACUCAGUGAAAUUGAACUCGCUGUGAAGAUGCAGUGUACCCGCGGCAAGACGGAAAGACCCCGUGAACCUUUACUAUAGCUUGACACUGAACAUUGAGCCUUGAUGUGUAGGAUAGGUGGGAGGCUUUGAAGUGUGGACGCCAGUCUGCAUGGAGCCGACCUUGAAAUACCACCCUUUAAUGUUUGAUGUUCUAACGUGGACCCGUAAUCCGGGUUGCGGACAGUGUCUGGUGGGUAGUUUGACUGGGGCGGUCUCCUCCUAAAGAGUAACGGAGGAGCACGAAGGUUGGCUAAUCCUGGUCGGACAUCAGGAGGUUAGUGCAAUGGCAUAAGCCAGCUUGACUGCGAGCGUGACGGCGCGAGCAGGUGCGAAAGCAGGUCAUAGUGAUCCGGUGGUUCUGAAUGGAAGGGCCAUCGCUCAACGGAUAAAAGGUACUCCGGGGAUAACAGGCUGAUACCGCCCAAGAGUUCAUAUCGACGGCGGUGUUUGGCACCUCGAUGUCGGCUCAUCACAUCCUGGGGCUGAAGUAGGUCCCAAGGGUAUGGCUGUUCGCCAUUUAAAGUGGUACGCGAGCUGGGUUUAGAACGUCGUGAGACAGUUCGGUCCCUAUCUGCCGUGGGCGCUGGAGAACUGAGGGGGGCUGCUCCUAGUACGAGAGGACCGGAGUGGACGCAUCACUGGUGUUCGGGUUGUCAUGCCAAUGGCACUGCCCGGUAGCUAAAUGCGGAAGAGAUAAGUGCUGAAAGCAUCUAAGCACGAAACUUGCCCCGAGAUGAGUUCUCCCUGAGACUUAGAGUCUCCUGAAGGAACGUUGAAGACGACGACGUUGAUAGGCCGGGUGUGUAAGCGCAGCGAUGCGUUGAGCUAACCGGUACUAAUGAACCGUGAGGCUUAACCUU